AUUUUCUAUUAAACCCUUAUGUUAUCUAAUAUUUCAAGAUUUCUUCGUUUUUUCUCGGCUUGCCCUACCUCACUCCUCUCAGCUGACGAUUAGGCUUCUUUCGUAAUAAAUUUUUAAUUCCUCUCAGCUAGCCAUUAGGCUUCUUUCGUAAUAAAUUUUUAAUUUAUUAAGCUAAAUUCUGUUAUGAAUUGUUGCUCUUUGACUGUUCGGCUUGCCCAACUUUCGGAGUUCCUCCGACGGCGACGUCUUUCUCUAAACGCCUUGCCUUCUCCUCCUCCUCCUUCACCUUCUCCUCCCGUCGGCUUCGCAUGAGGAUUUUUAAAAAGUCGUUAAAAGGAGCUUCUUCGCUUUCGGACAAGGCUCGCUCUUUUCAAACCUGCGAGAUGACAUAGGAAAUUUUAGAGGACCUACUAGCGAAGGCGAACGAAGGAUUUGAAAGCUCCGAAAGGUCUUAGGCUUAGACGAGCUUCCUCUCGAAUCGGAAAAAUUUUGCACACAGGGAAGGGGACUAAGCUAGGCUGCCUGAUUUCAUUUUCAAGAUCUUGCUGCAUGGAGGAUGAGAAAGUGGAGGAGAACGAAGGGAGAUAUGACGUGGCGGCUGCCAUGAAGGAUUUUUUGGGAGGACAUGGAGGUGAUGUUUAUUAUUUGAUUAUUUUUUUGCUGCUCUGCUUAAUAAAAGUGAGAUUUAUAGGGUUUCGGUUCUCUUUUGUAGUUCAUUUUAAUAAAAAUUGGAUUUUGGGGGGCUGUCGGUUCCAAGGAUUUUAGUAUAAUAGAAGUUUGGAAACGUUAGUAAAUCAUGGGAGUGUUGUUAUUGAGAACUGUUUGGUUGUCAGUAUAUUUAAAUCUAUAAAUCUUUAAACUGUUGGAAUGGAUGGGCUUAUUUGGCUGUUUGAAAUUAGAAAAUAGGUUUUUAAAUAUUAUGUAUUUAUUAUAUUUCAUUAUUUGGCUGGAUUCAUUCAGAAAUCAAUAUGGAUUUCAACUCAGCAAACUCCUUCAAAAUUCUUAAAGGAUGAUGAUUUCAUUUUAACGCUGAAAAUGAAACUAUAAUUUCCCUUAAAUAUAAUUUCCAUCUAAAAAACUUCCAAAUCAACCCUAAUGUAAUUUACGAAAUCCUUAAAUCCUUCUUUAAAUUUCAAAAUCAAAAGCUUAGGCCUUUCCAUCCAAAUUCUGGAUUUAUGAAAUCUAAAUUUUAUAGAAGAGUUAUAUAUAUAUAUAUAAUAUGUUUGUUUGAAUUUGGCCUUAAUCUAACCUUAAUCAUGUAUAAAUCUUCUUAGAAAAUAUCCCCUUAGGAUUUUUGUGGUUUUGCUGAACCGACCUCUUCGUGUCCAUGCAAUGACUUUUUGUUUAUCAAUAUCUUGUUUGUCGAAUAGAGUUGAUAAAUUUCUUUUCCUUUUCUUCCUUUAUGUAAUUCCUUUGCUUAUACAAGCUAUUUCACAAUUUUCUUUCAGUUUUUGAACUUCCUUAGAAACCGUUCGAAUAGAGAUUGCUAUGUUAUGCACAAGCUAACCAGAGAAUAAGUAGAAGAAUUUAAAAAGGGUAAUGCUAAGUGGAUAACCACUAAGUUUCAUAUAUUAGUCGUGAUUAUCAUUGUGGUCCACCAAGUAUCAGUGAGUCAUUGCCAAGCCAGCCUUCAUAUCCAUAACUUCUUAAAAGAAAAAGUGGGGCAGCAUUAGCAUUUGAUCAUAAGAAAAAUCAAUUUAGUAACACUAGAAGGGCUUAAUUUGAGAUAAAGCUUAAUUAGAUUAGAAGCUGUAAAAGUUUUCUCUGGUAGGAUUUUUUUUAUUUAUUCCUGCCGUAAUGUAAUCUUGGUUAAUUUUACAUAGAUUUGACUAACAGUAUUUUUUUGUUGGAUCGUGCCAAUAAAAUAGCUAAAAAAUAUGAUGCUUUGGAAUCAAAAGCUAUUUUCAUUACAAAUUGUAAAUUUUGACUCAUUGAAUUAGCAAAAUUGUCUUAAAGAACUAAAGAAACAGGAAACCUUAGAAGGAAUCUUUUUUAAUGCUUCAUUUUAGCAGAGUAUUCUUCAGGAUUACCUGUCCAAUGAGUGUCAGUAUAAAAAUUUAUUCUUUAUUGGGUUCUUAUCGUUGUGUAAUUUCCUUUUUUAAAGCGAUCAAUUCUUUUAUGUUUAACCGAAAAUUUUCUUUUUGGUUUGAGAAUUGUAGUCUAUUUUGGGUUUUUUCUCGCAUGGAGCUUUGAAAUUUAAACAUUUAAACAUUACCUUAUUCUUGCUUUAUGAAUUAUCAGUUCUUACAUAUUGUUGAUCAAGGACAAAAUGAGAUCUUAUCAAACUUAGGCUUUGGUCGGUUUUGGGGAAUAAAGCAGAAAGGUAACUUUUUUUAUCUCAUGGGUACAUUACUUCUUCACUCAACUUCUCAGCCAAAUAAGUGGGUUUAACUUAGCUUUAAUUCAAUUCCUUUAUCAUUUCUUCUUUUUCAAUUUCUUCUAUUGCAACGAGAGCUCACCAAGAUAAGAAUAAAUGUGCCACCUGAACACAAAAAGGAAUGAAACACAAAAAGGAAAAUGAAAGGCAUGAAAGUCAAGCAUAUGAUUCCAAGAAACGAGAAAAAGAUUCCAAACCCAGUCAGUCCUAUGCCGAUCUAUGUUUCAAGGAAGAUGUGGAACCUAUUAGCAGAGCUUCACAUGGAUGGCUAGAGAUUUUCGAUUUCAUGUGCAAGAAUUAUGUGAAGUAUACAAUCAACACAAGUAAAAUGAUUCAUUUGCACCAAAGAUAUGUUGUGCAAGAUUGACUCAGAGGGAAAGGCAAGAAAAUUCAUAUGGUGCUCGUGUUGUUGUUAAGAUUUGCAGGAUUAUGGAGAGGAUUCACAGGGACUUCAUAUAGUUCACAAAUAUAUGAAAUCUCACUGCUUAUUUUGAAGUAUCAGUAUCAUAAAUGAGUUGAAAUAUCUUGCUUAAAAUUAUGAGUGUUUAGUAUUUCGAGAAGCAUCUGUUUCUGCUUUGAGAAAUUUAUAUCUAGGUUUUCGCCUUCAAUUUUGAAUCUUGUAGCAAGAAUAUAUUGGAAACCUUUAUUUAUUGAAGUUGGUUUUAAUUGUAAUUUCAUUAACUUGUCAAACUGUUCAUAGAAAAUGAUCAUAUUUUGUACUACAUAAAAUAUUCAACUUUAUGCAGACUUGAAAAUCUGAAUUAUUUUUUGUUAUGAAAUUCUGAGCAUGAGUACUGCUUCCCACAAAAAAUGUUCUGCUUAAGAAAGCAUGAGUUUAUGACAUGAAAUUGUUGCUGCUGGGGCUGAUACUUUCAUUGUUCAUGGUUGCUCUUAUGUGAUCAUUGAUUUGGGUUAAGGGUAACCUCAUGAGAAAUAAGACAAAUCAAAGAAAACCAAAAUCAAAGUUAUUAUGCAUAUGUACGUUAUGUCAACAUUCUUUAAUUUGUAAUAUUUCAUUGGUGUGGAAUAAGUUUGAAUUAACUUUUUCUUUUAGUUCUCGUUAAUGUGAUGUAUGAGAAGGGGGUAUAAGAUGAUGCAUUCAUUACUCAAUUUUAUGAUCGAUAAUACACAGUGUAAAACUCAUAUGCUUGAAAUCCAAUGAGUUUGACGAUGUGUACUUUAUCCUUUUUUUAAUUCUAUUAUUAUGUAUUCUUGUAUUUUGUUAUAAGCUCAUUCAUAUGUGGAAGAUUUAUCUUAUAUGUCUAUCUUAAUUCAAUUUACAUGAGUUUUAAUUUGUUGUUGCUAAUUGUUAGUGUUUCUUAUAGUGACCAUUCAAUAUUGUUUGUCAUAGGCUUACUUUUUUAUUUUAAGUAACUAAUUUAAUUAUCUGAUGGAUGUCAUAUUAA
Long non-coding RNA from Dendrobium catenatum, 3783 nucleotides. RefSeq lists it as uncharacterized. The transcript is spliced from 6 exons. Lineage: Eukaryota; Viridiplantae; Streptophyta; Magnoliopsida; Asparagales; Orchidaceae. The record is from RefSeq and is a predicted model, not a curated record.